RNAcentral lists this long non-coding RNA (785 nucleotides) under Equus caballus (horse). RNAcentral's name for it is "lncRNA (ENSECAG00000057795.1)". Lineage: Eukaryota; Metazoa; Chordata; Mammalia; Perissodactyla; Equidae. The record is from RNAcentral.
GUUAAGUGCGCACAUUCCGCUUCGGCAGCCCAGGUUUGCUGGUUCGGAUCCCAGGUGCAGACAUGGCACCACUUGGCAAGCCAUGCUGUGGUCCCUGACCAAAUGACUUUGCACAUGAAACAGCAGAUCUGGUUGAAAUGAUCCAUCUCAGAAAAAAUUUGCCAACCCCUGCUCUGAACGGUACCCUACAAGCCGGGGACAGCCCUGCAGAGACUCGAAUCCUGGCAAAGCUCCUUUGGGAUCUCCCAAACACCUAGCAGCCGUCUGAGCAUCUCAAGUUGGCCCACAGACACCUGGAACUCAGCGAGGCCCGUACCUUCCCACGCUUGCUCUUUCCCGGUAUCCCCGUCAACCCCCAUCUUGCUCAAGCCAGAGUUUUGGAGUUAUUCUUGAAUCCUCUGCCGGCUCCCCUAUCCCAUUAAUCAUCUCUUUUGUAUCUUCAUUCUCCACACACCUCCUGCCACCACCCUGGCUGAAGUCAUCAGCAUUUCCUGCAGGGUGACCCGACCAGUGUCCUCAGUGGGGAUCCUGCCGCCUACUCUUCGACCCUCUAAUCCAUCCCCCACCAGGUGGCCAGGGCAGCCUUCCCAGAAUACGAAUCUGAUCUUAUCAUUUCCCACCUUCUAUCCCUUCCAUCGUAGAGAACCAGACCAUUGGUCUAUCCAUGAUCUUUUCCAGGCACGGCCCCAUCCUUCCUCUGGGCUCUUUCUGUGUGCAUAGGAUGGGAAGGUCAAUCCUAGCAUCUGGCUGAGAGCUCUUGGAGCGUCCCCACCUGGGAGGCCCCA